This is an unclassified non-coding RNA of Macaca fascicularis (crab-eating macaque), 313 nucleotides long. It matches the Rfam family "Metazoan signal recognition particle RNA". From Rfam's summary of the family: The signal recognition particle (SRP) is a universally conserved ribonucleoprotein. The record is from Ensembl. Lineage: Eukaryota; Metazoa; Chordata; Mammalia; Primates; Cercopithecidae.
UCUGGGCUAUAACAAAGAAGAAGAUAAAUAAAGACUGAAAAAUACUGUACAAAGAGAGGACGUAGAGGAUCACUUGAGCCCAGGAGUGCUGAGCUGUAGUGGGCUGUGUUGAUCAGGUGUCUGCACCAAGUUGAGCAUCAGUAUGGUGAACUUCCAGGAACUAGAGACCACGAGGUUGCCUAAAGAGGGGUGAAUUGACUCAGGUUGGAAAUGGACCAGGUCAUAACUCCUGUACUGAUCACUACCAGUGGGAUUGUGCCUGUGAAUAGCCACUACUCUUCAGUUUGGGCAACAAAACAAGACCCCACCUUUU